Long non-coding RNA from Hordeum vulgare subsp. vulgare (domesticated barley), 437 nucleotides. RefSeq lists it as uncharacterized. The record is from RefSeq and is a predicted model, not a curated record. The transcript is spliced from 2 exons. NCBI's taxonomy places the organism in Eukaryota, Viridiplantae, Streptophyta, Magnoliopsida, Poales, Poaceae.
GGAAUGGUUUGGCGGGUUGGAGAUGGCACCCAUGUCAAAAUCUGGGAGGAUCCGUGGCUUCCUAGAGGCACUACAAGGCGCCCAAUUUCUCACAGAGAUACAGAGGACUGGAUUGCAUGUCAUUUUGAUGCAAAAGGGGAAUUCUCUGUUAAAUCGGCUUACCGUGUGUAUUUAGCGACCGAGCUACUGAAUUCUGGUAGCAAUGAAGGAUGGCCUUCGGUUGGUGAUUCAUGGAAGAAUAAAGUCUGGAGGGAUUUAUGGAAAUUGCAUUGCCCGGCAAAAAUACACCAUUUUCUUUGGAGGUUCGGCCAUAAUAGCCAUCCUUUGCAUAUGAAUAUUGCCAGGAGAAGAGUGGUCCUGGACACAUCUUGUGUUGUCUGUCAUAGGCUCUUUGAGGAUGGUGGUCAUUUAUUUUUCCGAUGCAAGGGUGUUAAACC